This 495-nucleotide ribosomal RNA is filed under the name uncultured bacterium. RNAcentral's name for it is "partial 16S ribosomal RNA". It matches the Rfam family "Bacterial small subunit ribosomal RNA", at positions 28 to 507 of the family's 1533-position model. The record is from RNAcentral.
GACGAACGCUGGCGGCGUGCCUAAUACAUGCAAGUAGAACGCUGAAGGAGGAGCUUGCUUCUCUGGAUGAGUUGCGAACGGGUGAGUAACGCGUAGGUAACCUGCCUGGUAGCGGGGGAUAACUAUUGGAAACGAUAGCUAAUACCGCAUAAGAGUAGAUGUUGCAUGACAUUUGCUUAAAAGGUGCAAUUGCAUCACUACCAGAUGGACCUGCGUUGUAUUAGCUAGUUGGUGGGGUAACGGCUCACCAAGGCGACGAUACAUAGCCGACCUGAGAGGGUGAUCGGCCACACUGGGACUGAGACACGGCCCAGACUCCUACGGGAGGCAGCAGUAGGGAAUCUUCGGCAAUGGACGGAAGUCUGACCGAGCAACGCCGCGUGAGUGAAGAAGGUUUUCGGGUCGUAAAGCUCUGUUAUAAGAGAAGAACGAGUAUGAGAGUGGAAAGUUCACACUGUGACGGUAUCUUACCAGAAAGGGACGGCUAACUACGUG